GACGAACGCUGGCGGCGUGCUUAACACAUGCAAGUCGAACGGAAAGGCCCUGCUGUUGUGGGGUGCUCGAGUGGCGAACGGGUGAGUAACACGUGAGUAACCUGCCCUGGGCUUUGGGAUAACUUCAGGAAACUGGGUCUAAUACCGGAUAGGAGCUCCUGCUGCAUGGUGGGGGUUGGAAAGUUUCGGCGGUUGGGGAUGGACUCGCGGCUUAUCAGCUUGUUGGUGGGGUAGUGGCUUACCAAGGCUUUGACGGGUAGCCGGCCUGGGAGGGUGACCGGCCCCAUUGGGACUGAGAUACGGACCAGACUCCUACGGGAGACAGCAGUGGGGAAUAUUGCACAAUGGGCGGAAGUCUGAUGCAGCAACGCCGGGUGCGGGAUGACGGCCUUCGGGUUGUAAACCGCUUUCGCCUGUGACGAAGCGUGAGUGACGGUAAUGGAUAAAUAAGCACCGGCUAACUACGUG
Molecule: ribosomal RNA, 468 nt
Filed under: uncultured bacterium
Lineage: Bacteria
Description: partial 16S ribosomal RNA
Rfam family: Bacterial small subunit ribosomal RNA
Source: RNAcentral